AAGUGGGGGGAGGAAAGUCCGGGCAACAUAGAGUGCCACGCAAGUUAAUGGCUUGAUAUUCGUAAGGGUAUAGUAGUGUAACAGAGAAUAACCGCUACCUAGUGUCGCGAUGCUAGGGUGUAAGGGUGAAAAGGUGGGGUAAGAGCCCACCGCAGCGGUAGCAAUAUCGUCUGGCAGUACGCCUGGUGGGUUGCAAGACCGUGUAUACCGACAAUUAAGAGUUACUCGCUCGAUGUCGGGGGGUAGGUUGCUAGAGGUAGUGAGUGAUCACUAUCGUAGAUAAAUGAUGGAGGCUCCAAUUUAUUGGAGUACAGAACCCGGCUUAUAGG
Molecule: RNase P RNA, 329 nt
Filed under: uncultured Alistipes sp.
Lineage: Bacteria; Pseudomonadati; Bacteroidota; Bacteroidia; Bacteroidales; Rikenellaceae
Description: Bacterial RNase P class A
Rfam family: Bacterial RNase P class A
About the family: Ribonuclease P (RNase P) is a ubiquitous endoribonuclease, found in archaea, bacteria and eukarya as well as chloroplasts and mitochondria. Its best characterised activity is the generation of mature 5'-ends of tRNAs by cleaving the 5'-leader elements of precursor-tRNAs.
Source: RNAcentral